Tachyglossus aculeatus (Australian echidna) is the source of this 629-nucleotide long non-coding RNA. RefSeq lists it as uncharacterized. The record is from RefSeq and is a predicted model, not a curated record. The transcript is spliced from 4 exons. NCBI's taxonomy places the organism in Eukaryota, Metazoa, Chordata, Mammalia, Monotremata, Tachyglossidae.
CUUUAAUGUCCCAGAGGUAAGGCCUGUGGGUUUUACCUGUUGAGAAGAGAAGGAGGCUGAGGAGAGAAGACAGAGUGUGUUCCUCUGGCAUUCUGGGAGAUGAUUGCUGCUCUGGAUCUAGAGGGCCAAGGAAGGAGCCUGAGCCCCAGGUGCAUCCUGGAAGACCCUGCCCCCUGGUCCAACCCCGCCUCCCAAGGACGUGUUGGUGCAGACAGGACUGGACAGAACGGAAAGCCACAGCACAGCCCCAAACCGGACCACCCGACCCCGUGGACAGUGGAGGACUGACCAGCUACUCACCUGGUGUUAUGGACACUCCUAGAUUGAUUGCGCCGGCCCCACCAUGAGGGAAUUGGUUGGCACUGGGCUGCUGCCCCCUGGCCACCGCUCCCCCACCCCCCGGCCCCCCAACCCACAACUGUAUCCCCUCCUUCCAGACAAUGCCAUUUCUUUUAGGAGUCAAGGGUCAAACCCUGCAUCAUGGGUGCCAAAUCAGUCUCUUGCAACUCUAGGAGGCGAUGGAGGUGUGUGGUGUGUGUGUGUGUGUGUCUGUUUCUUGUGUGAGAGCGAGGGCUGGGACAGGAGCAGGGCGAGAGGGGCUGCCCCACUUCGGAGGGGUAAAGGUUUCU